This 425-nucleotide ribosomal RNA is filed under the name Werneria bambutensis (Bamboutos smalltongue toad). RNAcentral's name for it is "partial 16S ribosomal RNA". It matches the Rfam family "Bacterial large subunit ribosomal RNA", at positions 2034 to 2613 of the family's 2925-position model. The record is from RNAcentral. Lineage: Eukaryota; Metazoa; Chordata; Amphibia; Anura; Bufonidae.
CAGUGAAACUAAUCUCCCCGUGAAGAAGCGGGGAUAAAACUAUAAGACGAGAAGACCCUAUGGAGCUUUAAACAACAUAGCACUUGCCCCAUAAAAUUUAAACUCCUGAACCCCAAACUUCAUUAGGCAAUAUGACUAUAAGUUUUUGGUUGGGGUGACCGCGGAGCAUAGCACAACCUCCAUGCUGAAAGAAUUCUUUUAAGCCAAGAGCUACCAAUCUAAGCAUCAAUAAAUUGACAUCUAUUGACCCAAUACACUUGAACAACGAACCAAGUUACCCUAGGGAUAACAGCGCAAUCCACUUCAAGAGCCCCUAUCGACAAGUGGGUUUACGACCUCGAUGUUGGAUCAGGGUCUCCCAGUGGUGCAGCCGCUACUAAAGGUUCGUUUGUUCAACGAUUAAAACCCUACGUGAUCUGAGUUCA